GACGAACGCUGGCGGCGUGCCUAAUACAUGCAAGUCGAACGCACGAAGUUGAAGAGCUUGCUCUUUAACCAAGUGAGUGGCGGACGGGUGAGUAACACGUGGGUAACCUGCCCAUUAGAGGGGGAUAACAUUCGGAAACGGAUGCUAAUACCGCAUAGUUUCAGGGAUCGCAUGAUUCUUGAAGGAAAGGUGGCUUCGGCUACCACUAAUGGAUGGACCCGCGGCGUAUUAGCUAGUUGGUGAGGUAAUGGCUCACCAAGGCAAUGAUACGUAGCCGACCUGAGAGGGUGAUCGGCCACACUGGGACUGAGACACGGCCCAGACUCCUACGGGAGGCAGCAGUAGGGAAUCUUCCGCAAUGGACGAAAGUCUGACGGAGCAACGCCGCGUGAGUGAAGAAGGUUUUCGGAUCGUAAAACUCUGUUGUUAAAGAAGAACAAGGAUGAGAGUAACUGCUCAUCCCCUGACGGUAUUUAACCAGAAAGCCACGGCUAACUACGUGCCAGCAGCCGCGGUAAUACGUAGGUGGCAAGCGUUGUCCGGAUUUAUUGGGCGUAAAGCGGGCGCAGGCGGUUCUUUAAGUCUGAUGUGAAAGCCCCCGGCUCAACCGGGGAGGGUCAUUGGAAACUGGAGAACUUGAGUGCAGAAGAGGAGAGUGGAAUUCCACGUGUAGCGGUGAAAUGCGUAGAUAUGUGGAGGAACACCAGUGGCGAAGGCGACUCUCUGGUCUGUAACUGACGCUGAGGCUCGAAAGCGUGGGGAGCAAACAGG
This 771-nucleotide ribosomal RNA is filed under the name uncultured Vagococcus sp. Its description in RNAcentral is "bacterial SSU rRNA". It matches the Rfam family "Bacterial small subunit ribosomal RNA", at positions 28 to 776 of the family's 1533-position model. Lineage: Bacteria; Bacillati; Bacillota; Bacilli; Lactobacillales; Enterococcaceae. The record is from RNAcentral.